AUAUAUAGGAUAUACAGGUGAUUUAAAAAGAAGGUUUAAAGAACAUAAUCAAACAAAGACCGGAUAUACCCAAAAAGGUAAAUGGGAAUUGAUAUAUUAUGAAGGAUACAAAAACCAACAAGAUGCACAAGAAAGAGAAAAACAGUUAAAAAAUCACGAACAAGCCAAAAGAUGGUUAAAAGAAAGAAUAAAAAGAAGUCUUAAUGAAUGAAGUUGAGUGCUGGUGGUAGAAGAGCAUCGUAUGAUAGGGAGAAGGAGGAUUGAAAAAGACUCUGGACGAAAUACGAGAGAGAAUGUUGGCAUGAGUAGCGAGAUGUGUGUGAGAAUCACACAGGCCGAAAACCCAAGGAUUUCCAAGGAAGGUUCGUCCGCUUGGAGUAAGUCGGGACCUAAGGAGAGGCAGAAAUGCGUAUCUGAUGGACAACAGGUUAAGAUUCCUGUACCUACGCUUAUCGCCAAAGAGGAGAAGGAAUGACGCAGGAGGAUAAGAUCAGCGCACGGCUGGAAGAGUGCGUCCAAGCAGUAAGGCAGGCAUAUAGGCAAAUCCGUAUGCUAAUAAUGUUAAGCUGUGAUGGGGAGAGAAGUUAAGUAUCGAAGGAUCUGAUUUCACACUGACAGGAAAAGUUUCUAUCCAGAUAAGAGUAGCCCGUACCGUAAACCGACACAGGUGGGAGAGGUGAGAAACCUAAGGCCAGCGAGAGAACUGUUGUUAAGGAACUCGGCAAAAUGACCCCGUAACUUAGGGAUAAGGGGUGCCUUAGAGAUAAGGCUUCAAGAAAAAGGCCCAAGCGACUGUUUACCAAAAACAUAGGUCUCUGCGAAACCGCAAGGUGAAGUAUAGGGGCUGACGCCUGCCCGGUGCUGGAAGGUUAAGAGGAGAUGUCAGGCAACGAAGCAUUGAAUUUAAGCCCCAGUAAACGGCGGCCGUAACUAUAACGGUCCUAAGGUAGCGAAAUUCCUUGUCGGGUAAGUUCCGACCCGCACGAAAGGCGUAACGAUUUGGGCACUGUCUCAACAACAGACUCGGUGAAAUUGUAGUACCGGUGAAGAUGCCGGAAACCUGCGACAGGACGGAAAGACCCCAUGGAGCUUUACUGUAGCUUAGUAUUGAAUUUAUGUAAUUAAUGUACAGAAUAGGUGGGAGGCUGAGAGAUUAGGUCGUCAGAUUUAAAGGAGCCGCCUUUGGGAUACCACCCUUUGAUUAUGUGAGUUCUAACCGGAAUCUUUGAAGCAAGGUACGGGACAGUGCUUGGCGGACAGUUUGACUGGGGCGGUCGCCUCCCAAAGAGUAACGGAGGCGUCCAAAGGUUCCCUCAGCAUGGUCGGAAAUCAUGCGAAGAGUGCAAAGGCAAAAGGGAGCUUGAUUGCGAGACCAACAAGUCGAGCAAAGACGAAAGUCGGGCUUAGUGAUCCGGUGGUAGAAAGUGGAAUUGCCAUCGCUCAACGGAUAAAAGCUACCCUGGGGAUAACAGGCUGAUCUCCCCCAAGAGUUCACAUCGACGGGGAGGUUUGGCACCUCGAUGUCGGCUCAUCGCAUCCUGGGGCU
This 1546-nucleotide ribosomal RNA is filed under the name human metagenome. RNAcentral's name for it is "bacterial LSU rRNA". It matches the Rfam family "Bacterial large subunit ribosomal RNA", at positions 1077 to 2554 of the family's 2925-position model. The record is from RNAcentral.